Molecule: long non-coding RNA, 856 nt
Organism: Topomyia yanbarensis
Lineage: Eukaryota; Metazoa; Arthropoda; Insecta; Diptera; Culicidae
Exons: 3
Source: RefSeq, a predicted model, not a curated record
UAUUAUCAAUUUAAACCAUGGAGAAAUGUUCGCAAAAUCGAGUUGCUACGGUAGCGCGAGAGAGACUUCAUCAAGAGACUUGCUAUAAUACGCACUUGAUGAGUGCCCGUAGUUCUUCGCAAUUGCCCAUUACUAAUUUGCUGGCCUAGCGAUGCCGCCGGUGAGGGAAGGGAUUGGGCUGCCGAAAGAGGCCAUCGACCCUUGGUCAAUUUCACGAAUAUUUGCACUGUUGGGAGAGCGUUUUGUUUCACUCUAAUGUUUGGACAGGCAGCAGCCGUGCAUGAUAGACACCGUCCGCAGAAAUGAGAUGCGGUCAUGAAACUGGGGAAGUUCGGGAUGAUCAAUAUGAUAUUAGAAAUGUCUCUAUUGUCCACUUCGUGGAAAUUGCGUCAGAUCCGCUGACGAAGAUCUACAAAUCGCGGUUAUUCUGAGGAUUCCCAGAGCCCAAUAAACCACUUUGAUCGUUUCAGUGGAAGAGGCAAGAGUGGUUCAAUUUUGUUCGCGCCGUGAUGUGUUUAGUGUGAAAAGCAUUGCAAAGUAUAGCAAUAAGUAGCUUGGCGAUUCUAGUGUGUGCGCUGCUAGAAAAAUAUAAGGUUCGUGGCAGCCGUCGAAAGUCCGACACAUCACACCUCUUCGUUAGUGACCGCUCUUGACCCCACGAUUCGGCUCAAGGUUGGUCCCGGCGGUACACGUGGCCGGAAGAAGGCGGCGUCCGUCAAAUCGCGCCUUGGCAGGACCGUUCGAAUACAGCAAGUACAACCUCAACAGCAAUCUACGCUUUCCGGUGACGACCGAAAGUUUCGACGGAAGUACCCCGUCUGCGUAAGUUCCACGAACCGGCGGUGAAGACCAUCGU